UCCCGUGGCUCAGUUGGUAGAGCAUUGCGCCAACACCGCAAAGGUCAUGGGUUCAUAUACCAUGAUUUGGAU
Molecule: non-coding RNA, 72 nt
Organism: Danionella cerebrum
Lineage: Eukaryota; Metazoa; Chordata; Actinopteri; Cypriniformes; Danionidae
Source: the annotation of a GenBank genome assembly